CUCAAGGUUUGCUGAGGAAAAGUGAACAAGUGGAAAUGAAGUCUAUUGUCAAUGUGACCAGAGUUGUCCUCAGAGAGUAGGACAGAUAAAAUUAAAAUCAAACCUCUCUUACAAAGAAGAGGAGCCCAGAAGGCUGGAAAUUCCAGAUGAAAAAAAAGAAGGCACCAGAUACUUGGAAUGGGACAGAGCUGCCUGGGAGAGAAGUAAAAGGGUGAGGAGGCCCAAGAGACCAGACUGCAGGGAACCUUGGGAGAAAACCAUCAGGAAUGCCUCAUUUACUUUCAAGAGAAAUCCAGGCUUCUUGGAGAAGCUUCUAGUCCUGUCUGCAUUUACUAUCAUUGGACUUCCAUGGCACCCCGGUGACAGUGCUGCAAUUAAGGCCAUCAGUGUGCUUUUGUGACAUCAACAAACCAAUCAGGACUUCUCAGUACACUCACUUCUCAAUCCUACUGGUUUUUGAGUCUUCAUUUUUUUUUAAAUCACUUGUAAAAUUUAAUUUUAAAGGCUUAUUCUAUCAUUUCAUAUUUUAUUUAUA
Non-coding RNA from Cricetulus griseus (Chinese hamster), 535 nucleotides. NCBI's taxonomy places the organism in Eukaryota, Metazoa, Chordata, Mammalia, Rodentia, Cricetidae. The record is from RefSeq and is a predicted model, not a curated record.